This is a long non-coding RNA of Ictalurus punctatus (channel catfish), 553 nucleotides long. The record is from Ensembl. Lineage: Eukaryota; Metazoa; Chordata; Actinopteri; Siluriformes; Ictaluridae.
AAGAUGUGUUAAUUUGCUAGCUGCAGGUUUUUUCUUUCAUUCAAGUACCAUCACUGCAAGUGGUCGACCAGAGCACUAUAUGUAACUGUAGCGGUGUAAUAAGCUAUCAGUGGAGCGUAUAACCUCGGAGAGACGUUAUAUUACCGUGGAAAGAGUAUAACAGAUAACAGCUAGCUGUUAAGACUUAGAUACUAGUGCACAUGUGGUUUUUGCUAAGAAGUUAGCGAACAGCCAACUGGAGGAGCAGAGACUGUGUUUGUCACGGAGAAAAGAGCUGUGGACUUCGCGGAUGACUGUCUCCAUUUUGUUUGAGGCUUCUACGCACUCCAGCUACAUUCAGGCCUGCAACGGGGAACUUGGGUUUUCAGAAGAACCUGUAGCAUUUUUAAACAGACUUGAAGAGAAGAGGUUCUUCUACAGAGAUUUAAGGACAUCACAGUUACUUACAUUCAGAGGAAACAGACUAAAGAAGCUCCACCACAUCCUGCAUAUAAACAGCCUGAGAGACUCUCCUCGUCCAUCUGCAUACAUCUGCUUCACACACACACACUGA